GAGGGUGGGGCUCAGUGAUGGAGCGUGUGCUUAGCAUGCACAAGGUCCUGGGUUCAAUCCCAGGACCUUCA
This 71-nucleotide transfer RNA is filed under the name Camelus bactrianus (Bactrian camel). It matches the Rfam family "tRNA". From Rfam's summary of the family: Transfer RNA (tRNA) molecules are approximately 80 nucleotides in length. Their secondary structure includes four short double-helical elements and three loops (D, anti-codon, and T loops). Lineage: Eukaryota; Metazoa; Chordata; Mammalia; Artiodactyla; Camelidae. The record is from Rfam by way of RNAcentral. RNAcentral also lists the same sequence under 1 other name.